RNAcentral lists this unclassified non-coding RNA (412 nucleotides) under Hevea brasiliensis (rubber tree). The record is from RNAcentral. Lineage: Eukaryota; Viridiplantae; Streptophyta; Magnoliopsida; Malpighiales; Euphorbiaceae.
AUCAACUUGAGAAUAAGACGCCUCUAGACAUACUAUAAUAUGUGGCUUAUUCUCACACUUGAUUUUCAAAGCAUCUCUGAAGACCUAGCCUUUCCAUUUCAAACUUAUUAAUCAAUGAUUCUUGAUUAACACUUGAUAUAAGGUUCAGUCAAUUAAUUUAGACCAAAUCUUCCCCUAUAACAGAGAAUUGCAUUGUCCCUACUGCUCAUAGAAAAGACAGCCAUCUAACCUCUGCUCUAUAUUCUUCUCAUGCACUUUGACAUUUCGUCCGUACCAACUUUCCAUUAAUUGAACCAUAGUUUAAAAGGACAAACACCAGAGUCACCAACUCACCAUGAUCAGAGAAAAUUGUUUUGCAAGUGGUAUAACGCAUUUAAACUUGCACGAUGAUAUGAAAUAAUAAUAAAAUUUA